GAUGAACGCUGGCGGCGUGCCUAAUACAUGCAAGUCGAGCGAACAGACGAGGAGCUUGCUCCUUUGACGUUAGCGGCGGACGGGUGAGUAACACGUAGGUAACCUACCUAUAAGACUGGGAUAACUUCGGGAAACCGGAGCUAAUACCGGAUAAUAUUUCGAACCGCAUGGUUCGAUAGUGAAAGAUGGCUUUGCUAUCACUUAUAGAUGGACCUGCGCCGUAUUAGCUAGUUGGUAAGGUAACGGCUUACCAAGGUAACGAUACGUAGCCGACCUGAGAGGGUGAUCGGCCACACUGGAACUGAGACACGGUCCAGACUCCUACGGGAGGCAGCAGUAGGGAAUCUUCCGCAAUGGGCGAAAGCCUGACGGAGCAACGCCGCGUGAGUGAUGAAGGUCUUCGGAUCGUAAAACUCUGUUAUUAGGGAAGAACAAACGUGUAAGUAACUGUGCACGUCUUGACGGUACCUAAUCAGAAAGCCACGGCUAACUACGCG
This 497-nucleotide ribosomal RNA is filed under the name uncultured bacterium. RNAcentral describes it as "partial 16S ribosomal RNA". It matches the Rfam family "Bacterial small subunit ribosomal RNA", at positions 28 to 507 of the family's 1533-position model. The record is from RNAcentral.